Molecule: long non-coding RNA, 984 nt
Filed under: Sorghum bicolor (sorghum)
Lineage: Eukaryota; Viridiplantae; Streptophyta; Magnoliopsida; Poales; Poaceae
Description: long non-coding RNA (SBIC_LNC008488)
Source: RNAcentral
ACUUGUGGGAUGAAAACUUGAUCUGAAGUCUAAGUUGUUAACGGAUACGAUAUGGGAAGGUUGAGCUACUAUUUAUCUGUUCCUAGAGAUGCUAGAAUUCUGGAGAAUUUUAUCUUUGAAAAUCUUUAAAAUGUUGCAUGAUGAGUUCCUAUAUGAUGAGAGCUUAAAUUCCUACCACAGCCAUAUAUACAUGCUUGCUAGAUUUUGAGCCACACAUUUACUAUUUACUGCUUAUGAGCAUUGAGUGUGGUCAAGCUGUGUAGACCCUUAGGAGCUUGUCAUGUGGUUAAAUCAAGAUUUCACUUGCACGUUCACUCAUAUAUGCUACUUCUACUCCGGAAGUACCAUCCACAUAUAUCUACCCAUUCCAUCUCCAGAACCACCUAAAAAUAUUCUACUCCUAAUCCGGGAGAGAAUAACCAAAAAUAUUUCUGUUUUCCCCUUGUAAAAUAAAUGCUCAAGAUAUCUUGUUACUACCACUUGCUAUAUUAUCUCAAGAGAUGAAUGCUCUAAAAAAAAGGGAAUAAUACGAGGAAAUAAAAAGGAGUAAGUGCUCGGAACCUCGAAAGAAAAGAAAAAGUGAGACGAGAGGUAAAAAUGGACAAGUGUCCGACAGUAGAAUUAGGGGUGCAAGAUACCCACCUGAGAGACAAGAAAAAGAAGAGCAUCUCAUUCUCCUCAUAAAGUUUCAAAAGCAAGGAAGGUAUGUAUCCCCUCAAAGAGCAAAAGUAGAAUUAGACUUCCACCACCAUUGUUUUCAUCAUUGUUAUCACCAUCAUCACCAUACACCAUUCAUUCGCCACACAUGCACAUCUUGAUUAAACUUAUUGACUUGUUACUUUGGAUCCAUGGUUUGACUAUGCAAUAAAUGUCUUGUAAGUAUGUAUACUUUAUCUCCCACCUAUGAGCUCCAGAUAUUAAAGCCUUAUUAGAGUAGGGUGAGAGAAAAGGCAAUGUCACUAUGCCUCAUACCAUAAAUACCAC